Molecule: ribosomal RNA, 253 nt
Filed under: uncultured bacterium
Lineage: Bacteria
Description: partial 16S ribosomal RNA
Rfam family: Bacterial small subunit ribosomal RNA
Source: RNAcentral
UACAGAGGGUGCGAGCGUUAAUCGGAAUUACUGGGCGUAAAGCGUGCGUAGACGGCUAUCUAAGUCGGGUGUGAAAGCCCCGGGCUCAACCUGGGAAUUGCAUUCGAGACUGAAUAGCUAGGGUACGGUAGAGGGAAGUGGAAUUUCCGGUGUAGCGGUGAAAUGCGUAGAUAUCGGGAGGAACACCAGUGGCGAAGGCGACUUCCUGGCCUGUUCUUGACGCUGAGGCGCGAAAGCUAGGGGAGCAAACGGG